AAAAAAUCCCCAAUCCUCGCGUCCACCAGUCAUCCCCAUCGACGCGCUUCCCCAGUCCCCUCGCUCCACCGCCGCACACCAUCGAGGCCCCCACCGCCGCAUCCAGGCCGAGGCCGCCGCACCACGCCCCCAUCCAGGCCGAGGCCGGCGCGGGCGCAUCCCCAUCGAGGGGCCUCCGCCUUCGUCCCCACCUGUGACGGCCACCUCCAUCCACACGCGUCACCGUCUCUAUCGAGCAGUGUCGCCAUUCUCGCGCGAGCACCACCGCCUCUCCUCGCCGGAGUUGCAACCGUCGGGAGGAAUCUCCUUUCCAUCGAGUGUUGCAGCGGCUCAUCGUCCCAAGCUGCUUCUCGAUCUUCUCCACCGAGCACCGCCGUCGGAAGCAUGUCUUAUCCGCCUAGCGUCGCCAUCAAGUGCAAUCCGUCCUCUCCGCCGAGUAUCCGCCGAAGCACGCCAAGCAGACGCCGACUCCACUCCGUGUCUCUACCGAGCAGCACGCCGUCAGCGAGAUCUGUAGCCGCUUCUCCUCGCCAAGCUCAAUGCAGCAUAGCACAAUCGGAGGUUGAAUGCAUGCCUGGAGAAAUUACAACAGCAUAUGUUGCCAUUUCCAGAUUUGACCUGUGUCUCUGAAAUUAAUAUAUAGGAUAUGCUAGAGGUAAGGGAGCAGAAUGGAGGGUGGAGCAGCUAAAUUCUUUCCAUCCUGGUUAGAAAUACUUUGUACCUUGCAUUAAAUUAUAUUCUUCUUGAUGAAUUGAAAUUAAGUUACCUUGUUUCACUGAACAGUUAUGCAAACAUUUAUACUUGGUUAAUCCGUUGUGAUAGAAACCAGUACUUGCUGUGGCUUGAAAUCAUCUUGUACCGGAGUGGCGCAUGCAGAUGGUGCAGCAUGCAGGAUCUUUGGAUUUUUAUUUUUUUCCCUUCAGUUCUUGUUUUUCUGCUCCUGCUUCUAUUUGUACUGUCAAAUUGUUCUCUAAAGAAUACAUUUCAGCACUAAGAUUUGCAAGCAGUUGGUUCCAGUAUCCUAACACGUCCUAUUCUUGUGUAUCUGUUUUUGAUAACCAAUCUUGCCUCUUCUAAACUGUAAUGAGGGGUAGACCAUAAAUUAAAGAUCGAGUUAAUACUAAAGAUUGCUAA
Molecule: long non-coding RNA, 1134 nt
Filed under: Oryza sativa Indica Group (long-grained rice)
Lineage: Eukaryota; Viridiplantae; Streptophyta; Magnoliopsida; Poales; Poaceae
Description: lncRNA OsMH63_04G009880
Source: RNAcentral